ACGGGUGAGUAAUGUCUGGGAAACUGCCCGAUGGAGGGGGAUAACUACUGGAAACGGUAGCUAAUACCGCAUAACGUCGCAAGACCAAAGUGGGGGACCUUCGGGCCUCACACCAUCGGAUGUGCCCAGAUGGGAUUAGCUAGUAGGUGGGGUAACGGCUCACCUAGGCGACGAUCCCUAGCUGGUCUGAGAGGAUGACCAGCCACACUGGAACUGAGACACGGUCCAGACUCCUACGGGAGGCAGCAGUGGGGAAUAUUGCACAAUGGGCGCAAGCCUGAUGCAGCCAUGCCGCGUGUAUGAAGAAGGCCUUCGGGUUGUAAAGUACUUUCAGCGGGGAGGAAGGCGAUGUGGUUAAUAACCGCGUCGAUUGACGUUACCCGCAGAAGAAGCACCGGCUAACUCCGUGCCAGCAGCCGCGGUAAUACGGAGGGUGCAAGCGUUAAUCGGAAUUACUGGGCGUAAAGCGCACGCAGGCGGUCUGUCAAGUCGGAUGUGAAAUCCCCGGGCUUAACCUGGGAACUGCAUUCGAAACUGGCAGGCUAGAGUCUUGUAGAGGGGGGUAGAAUUCCAGGUGUAGC
This 581-nucleotide ribosomal RNA is filed under the name uncultured bacterium. Its description in RNAcentral is "bacterial SSU rRNA". It matches the Rfam family "Bacterial small subunit ribosomal RNA", at positions 102 to 679 of the family's 1533-position model. The record is from RNAcentral.